GGUAGCGUGAUUCUUGUUUUCUUAAUUAGAAAUCUGUUCAAAGAAUGUAAUGGAGAGGAACUCUUGUUUUCAUAUAGAGUGAACUUAAAUUGUUAGUGAAAAUUCUGACAAGUGUUUAAAAGACGAGAAGACCCCAUAAAACUUAAUUUGAAGUAUUUUCUUAUACCUUAAAAUUUAGAUGGGGACUUUAGAGUAAAUUAAUAACUUAAAGACCUAUAGAUCUAUUGUUUGAGAAGCUACUUUGGGGAUAACAGGGUAAAAUAUUUGGAGAGUUCUUAUCGAUAAAUAUGCCUACUACCUCGAUGUUGG
This 309-nucleotide ribosomal RNA is filed under the name Brachionus plicatilis. RNAcentral's name for it is "partial 16S ribosomal RNA". It matches the Rfam family "Bacterial large subunit ribosomal RNA", at positions 1955 to 2535 of the family's 2925-position model. The record is from RNAcentral. Lineage: Eukaryota; Metazoa; Rotifera; Eurotatoria; Ploima; Brachionidae.